Acanthochromis polyacanthus (spiny chromis) is the source of this 646-nucleotide long non-coding RNA. RefSeq lists it as uncharacterized. Lineage: Eukaryota; Metazoa; Chordata; Actinopteri; Pomacentridae. The transcript is spliced from 3 exons. The record is from RefSeq and is a predicted model, not a curated record.
GAGAGGGAGAGAGAGGCAUGGAGGUAGAGAGAGAAACUGGCAGGAGAGACUGCGGUGGAAGCAGAAAAGGGCUUAUUGGAUCCAGCUGCAGAGCGACAGCAGCUGGAUCUGAUCUACCAUCAGCGCCAGAUAAAGACCUGCUCGUCCCUCCAGUCACCGCCAGAUCCUAGCGUCUGCUACAGAGAGAAUGCUGUCUGUUGCCCUCAGUCCUGCCGUUCCAGCCGUCACCUGGAACAUGGUUUCCUGCCCCUCGCCUCAGUAAGGGGCUUCGGACCCUGCUUGCUCCGCCCAGCCGAUCUGUCGGGUGAUCUGGACGCCGGUUUCCCGCCGUGGCUCCUCACUGCAUGACUUGCAGCUCCGACAUGCGUCCCCUGGACCGUCGGUUCAUGAGCCUGCCUGCACCCACCGAUUAAAGUUAGGUAUUUCUACCUCAGCCGUUUAGUUAAGUUGAAUAACCAACCGCCCUUAGUUUCAGUGUCAGCCCAGUUCGUUGGUUAAAUUAAUUUGGCUUCGAGAUUGUUGUUUAGUCUUUACUGUAGUGAAUGUAGUUUGGUUUGAGUUGGGCUUCUCAGUUCUGUUUGGAUCUGUGGUUUGUGAAUAAACUGCUGGUGAAAUUCCACUAGUCCUGCCUGUUUCUGUGUGCCUG